AUUAAAGCGAUGAAGGGAACCAAUUGUAGUUCUUCUAUCCCUGUUUAAAGAGAGCCAGGCGGUGGUGGGAGCCGGCACAAAUAGAAGAGUGAAUUACAUCCUCGAGCUUUCUCUGUGAAUAUUAUUAUUAGUAGCAGUGAACGGUGAUAACCGUUAUUUUUUUUAAGUUGGAGGAUUAUGUUCUCAAGCUGGGUGGUACCGCGUUAAAAUAACGUCCCUGCA
This 222-nucleotide non-coding RNA is filed under the name Neobacillus vireti. RNAcentral describes it as "Bacillus vireti T-box sequence". It matches the Rfam family "T-box leader". From Rfam's summary of the family: Uncharged tRNA acts as the effector for transcription antitermination of genes in the T-box leader family. T-boxes are found upstream of many aminoacyl-tRNA synthetase genes and some amino acid biosynthetic genes usually in Gram-positive bacteria. The record is from RNAcentral. Lineage: Bacteria; Bacillati; Bacillota; Bacilli; Caryophanales; Bacillaceae.